RNAcentral lists this ribosomal RNA (171 nucleotides) under uncultured eukaryote. RNAcentral describes it as "partial small subunit ribosomal RNA". The record is from RNAcentral.
GUACACACCGCCCGUCKCUACUACCGAUGGAGGGGGUAGGUGAGUGUGGUGCAGGAUGCGGAUGGGACACCGUCAGGUGGCCCGYCCGCGUGCGAAGCCAUCCGAACCUGCCCUCUUAGAGGAAGUAAAAGUCGUAACAAGGUWUCYGUAGGUGAACCUGCAGAAGGAUCA